UACAGAGGUCCCGAGCGUUGUUCGGAUUCACUGGGCGUAAAGGGUGCGUAGGUGGUGAGGUAAGUCGGAUGUGAAAUCUCCGGGCUCAACCCGGAAAUGGCAUUGGAAACUACCUUGCUGGAGGAUUUGAGGGGGGAUUGGAAUACUUGGUGUAGCAGUGAAAUGCGUAGAUAUCGAGAGGAACACCUGCGGCGAAGGCGGGUUGCUGGGCUGACACUGACGCUGAUGCGCGAAAGCCAGGGGAGCGAACGGG
This 253-nucleotide ribosomal RNA is filed under the name uncultured bacterium. RNAcentral's name for it is "partial 16S ribosomal RNA". It matches the Rfam family "Bacterial small subunit ribosomal RNA", at positions 524 to 776 of the family's 1533-position model. The record is from RNAcentral.